GGAUCUGUCAAAUAACGAUAUCCAACGUCUGCCGUCAGAUGUUUUUAACAAUGUUACUCAGCUAAAAAAGCUCUUUUUGUCCAAUAACAAGCUUCGGCAAUUGCCAAGUUUCAACAAUCUUUCUCAACUGACAACAUUAUACAUGAGUAACAACAGCCUCUCAACUCUGGCACAUGAUCAGUUCCAGGGAUUGUCUAAUCUAACAGACUUAGCUGCUUAUGACAACAAAAUCCAGUAUCUGCCACAAAGAGUUUUUGAAGGCGCCAAAAACUUGAAGUCUAUGAGCUUUCAUCUCAACAACAUCCCUAGCGUGUCUAAUGUACUAUUUGAAGAUGUCGCGCCAAGCAUUCGAUUCAUGU
This is a long non-coding RNA of Stylophora pistillata, 359 nucleotides long. Lineage: Eukaryota; Metazoa; Cnidaria; Anthozoa; Scleractinia; Pocilloporidae. The record is from RefSeq and is a predicted model, not a curated record.